This 207-nucleotide long non-coding RNA is filed under the name Lathyrus oleraceus (garden pea). RNAcentral describes it as "Pisum sativum (pea) long non-coding RNA (PSAT_LNC007367)". The record is from RNAcentral. Lineage: Eukaryota; Viridiplantae; Streptophyta; Magnoliopsida; Fabales; Fabaceae.
AUUAUUCCAUUCACAUUUUAUUUUCUUUUCUUAAUUCUCAUUUAUUUUUCUGUUUUGUUUUUUUAUUCUUAAAAAUAUUUUAUUUAUUCAUAAAAAUAUAAAAAAUAUUUUUCACAUUUUUUAAUGUUUUAUUUAAUUUUAUUUUAUUUUUAUUUUCAUAUUUAUUUAAUGUUAAUAUUUCAUUUUAAUUAUUUAUUUCAAGUGGAU